Molecule: long non-coding RNA, 309 nt
Filed under: Gallus gallus (chicken)
Lineage: Eukaryota; Metazoa; Chordata; Aves; Galliformes; Phasianidae
Source: RNAcentral
CUCAUGUAGUUGCUCUUCAACGGCAGCAAGUAUCUCCUCUCAUCCGGAACUCUGUUACAAUUAGAACUGAAGUUGACGGCCUUUAAUUCGUUAGGCUUAACUUUUUCUGUGCCCUCCUCCCCAGGGAGGAUAUCUUGCCACAGCGAGUUCCGAAAACGUUCAUCCACAGACACAAUAUGUCCCUCAGUAGUAAACAUAUAUUUAUUUCCAGACUUAUGCACUGGAUUGUCUUCAUCAAACAACAGGUACAAAUAUUUACAUGUUUCACUGAGAAAAAAGCUCUCCAUUCGAUCUUCUUUUGUCUUCUCC